Molecule: ribosomal RNA, 690 nt
Filed under: uncultured bacterium
Lineage: Bacteria
Description: bacterial SSU rRNA
Rfam family: Bacterial small subunit ribosomal RNA
Source: RNAcentral
AACGCUAGCUACAGGCUUAACACAUGCAGGUCGAGGGGUAGCACGGCAGGAAGCUUGCUUCCUUGGGUGACGACCGGCGCACGGGUGAGUAACGCGUAUCCGACCUACCCAUAACACGGGCACAGCCGCUCGAAAGAGUGAUUGAUUCCCGAUAUGUUAUAUAAGUAGAUUAUAUAAUGAAAGAUUUAUCGGUUAUGGAUGGGGAUGCGUAAGAUUAGGUAGUAGGCGGGGUAACGGCCCACCUAGCCGACGAUCUUUAGGGGUUCUGAGAGGAAGGUCCCCCACACUGGUACUGAGACACGGACCAGACUCCUACGGGAGGCAGCAGUGAGGAAUAUUGGUCAAUGGGCGGAAGCCUGAACCAGCCAAGUAGCGUGAAGGAUUACAGCCCUACGGGUUUUAAACUUCUUUUAUAUAAGAGUAAUGUGCACUACGUGUAGUGUAUUGCAAGUAUUAUAUGAAUAAGCAUCGGCUAACUCCGUGCCAGCAGCCGCGGUAAUACGGAGGAUGCGAGCGUUAUCCGGAUUUAUUGGGUUUAAAGGGAGCGUAGGCGGGAUAUUAAGUCAGUCGUCAAAGCCUGUGGCUCAACCACAGCCCGCGAUUGAUACUGGUAACCUUGAGUGCGGAUGAGGUGGAUGGAAUUCGUGGUGUAGCGGUGAAAUGCUUAGAUAUCACGAAGAACUCCGAUUG